AACGCGAAGAACCUUACCUACUCUUGACAUCCAGAGAAUUUAGCAGAGAUGCUUUGGUGCCUUCGGGAACUCUGAGACAGGUGCUGCAUGGCUGUCGUCAGCUCGUGUUGUGAAAUGUUGGGUUAAGUCCCGCAACGAGCGCAACCCUUAUCCUUUGUUGCCAGCGGUUCGGCCGGGAACUCAAAGGAGACUGCCAGUGAUAAACUGGAGGAAGGUGGGGAUGACGUCAAGUCAUCAUGGCCCUUACGAGUAGGGCUACACACGUGCUACAAUGGCAUAUACAAAGAGAAGCGACCUCGCGAGAGCAAGCGGACCUCAUAAAGUAUGUCGUAGUCCGGAUCGGAGUCUGCAACUCGACUCCGUGAAGUCGGAAUCGCUAGUAAUCGUAGAUCAGAAUGCUACGGUGAAUACGUUCCCGGGUCUUGUACACACCG
RNAcentral lists this ribosomal RNA (434 nucleotides) under uncultured Kluyvera sp. RNAcentral's name for it is "bacterial SSU rRNA". It matches the Rfam family "Bacterial small subunit ribosomal RNA", at positions 958 to 1392 of the family's 1533-position model. The record is from RNAcentral. Lineage: Bacteria; Pseudomonadati; Pseudomonadota; Gammaproteobacteria; Enterobacterales; Enterobacteriaceae.